Molecule: ribosomal RNA, 492 nt
Filed under: uncultured bacterium
Lineage: Bacteria
Description: partial 16S ribosomal RNA
Rfam family: Bacterial small subunit ribosomal RNA
Source: RNAcentral
AGUGAACGCUGGCGGUAGGCCUAACACAUGCAAGUCGAACGGCAGCACAGUAAGAGCUUGCUCUUACGGGUGGCGAGUGGCGGACGGGUGAGGAAUAUAACGGAAUCUACUUUUUCGUGGGGGUUAACGUAGGGAAACUUACGAUAAUACCGCAUACGACCUACGGGUGAAAGCAGGGGAUCUUCGGACCUUGCGCGAUUGAAUGAGCCGAUGUCGGAUUAGCUAGUUGGGGGGGUAAUGGCCAACCAAGGCGACGAUCCGUAGCUGGUCUGAGAGGAGGGUCACCCACAUUGGAACUGAGACACGGACCAUGCGCCUACGGGAGGGAGCAGUGGGGAAUAUUGGACAAUGGGCGCAAGCCUGAUCCAGCGAUACCGCGUGGGUGAAGAAGGCCUUCGGGUUGUAAAGCCGUUUUGUUGGGAGAGAGAAGCAGCAGGUUAAUACCCCGCGGUUCUGACGGUACCCAAAGAAUAAGCACCGGCUAACUUCGUG